UAAGGUGCAUCGUGCGUUCCGUCGCUGUGGCGGCUGCCCUCGUCUCCGUCCCGCUGCCGUUCCCGGGCGCUCUUCCGCAGUCGUCGGUCUCGGAAUGCAGCGGAACACGCUCAUUGGCUGGCGCGCCCGUUCCCCUUCGGCGCCCUGACGUGCUAAUAGGCGCGGCGUCCCGUCAGUCAGGCGGUCUGCCGUUGCCACGGCGAGGCCGCGGGCUGCGACGGACGGGUCGCGAUGGCCGGCGUGGAACUGUUCUCACACCCUGCGCUCCACACGCGCUACCGGGCCGGACUCUGCUCCGCCGCGGCGCUGGCGCUGUUGCUCAUCACGGUGCUCACCUACGUGCCGCCGCUGCUAGUGGCCUACCGGAGCCACGGUUUCUGGCUGAAGCAGAGUGCGUAUCUGGAGCAGCCCACGGUGCGGUUCCGGUACGAGGUGCUCUUUGUGGCCACCGUCGGGCCAGGGCCGGGCAACUUCUUGGCGUGGAGCACGUUCCCAGCGUUCAACAGGCUCCAGGAGGACCGGCUGCGAGUCCCACUCCUGUCGACUAGAGAAGAAGACAAAAAUCUAGAUGGCAAAAUGGAUCAGCUGCAUUUUAAAUUGGAACUUCCGCUACAACCUACAGAGCAUGUAGUUGGUGUUCAGCUGAUUCUACUCUUUUCCUACCAGCUUUAUAGGAUGUCAACAUUUGUGAUGCAGAGCAUGGCUUUUCUUCAGUUUUUUUCUCCUGUGCCAGGGUCUCAGCUCUAUGUGAACGGAGACCUGAAAUUGAACCAGAGGCAAUUACUUAACCAUUGUGGACUGGAUACCAGAUACAAUGUGUCUGUGGUCAAUGGCACGAGUCCUUUUGCGAAUGACUAUGAUCUAACAAACAUCAUUGCAUCAUACUGGGAUAGAAAUGUGACAACAGUCUUUUCAGAUCCCAACCCUGUUUGGAUGACUGGAAGAGCUACAGAUACACCAUUUAUCAUUAACGCUACUAUUCAUUACCCAGUGGAAGUUAUCUUAUAUCAGCCAGGAUUUUGGGAAAUUAUUAAAUUUGCCUGGAUCCAGUAUGUCAGCAUUCUCCUUAUCUUUCUUUGGGUAUUUGGUAGGAUUAAAAUGUUUGUGUUCCAGAAUCAGGUCUUGACUACGACUCAAAUAUCACCAGUUCUGCCGCCGUCUCCAGUACUGUCCUACAAACAGCACCAGUGCUGAGGAGAUGCCUGAGAACACUUUAAAGAAAUGCAGUUCAAGGAUACCUACUUUUAUUCUCAAUAUGCUUUUUACUUCAGAAGAUCAGAAUUUUUUAAAGAACCUCGAGCGGGUCCAGAGGAGGCCACGAAGGUUAUCGGGGGCUGAAGUAUCUCCCCUACAAGGACAGGAUGAGAGUUGGGGUUGCUCAGCCUAGAGAAGACAAGGCUCUGAGGAGACUUCAUAGCAGCAUUCCAGUACUUAAACGGGGCCUACAUGAAAGAUGGGGAGGGACUCUUUGUCAGGGACUGCAGGGAUAGAACAAGGGGUAGCGGCUUUGAACUGAAAGAGGGUAGAUUUAGAUUAGAUGUAAGGAAGAAAUUCUUUACUGUGAGGGUGCUGAGACACUGGAACAGGUUACCCAGAGAAGCUGUGGUU
Molecule: RNA transcript, 1608 nt
Organism: Tyto alba (common barn owl)
Lineage: Eukaryota; Metazoa; Chordata; Aves; Strigiformes; Tytonidae
Gene: TMEM231
Gene name: transmembrane protein 231
Exons: 8
Source: RefSeq, a predicted model, not a curated record